GAUGAACGCUAGCUACAGGCUUAACACAUGCAAGUCGAGGGGAAACGACAUCGAAAGCUUGCUUUUGGUGGGCGUCGACCGGCGCACGGGUGAGUAACGCGUAUCCAACCUGCCCACCACUUGGGGGAUAACCUUGCGAAAGUAAGACUAAUACCCAAUGAUAUCCCACGAAGGCAUCCGAAUGGGAUUAAAGAUUUAUCGGUGAUGGAUGGGGAUGCGUCUGAUUAGCUUGUUGGCGGGGUAACGGCCCACCAAGGCGACGAUCAGUAGGGGUUCUGAGAGGAAGGUCCCCCACAUUGGAACUGAGACACGGUCCAAACUCCUACGGGAGGCAGCAGUGAGGAAUAUUGGUCAAUGGGCGAGAGCCUGAACCAGCCAAGUAGCGUGCAGGAUGACGGCCCUAUGGGUUGUAAACUGCUUUUAUAAGGGAAUAAAGUGGGUCACGUGUGACUUUUUGCAUGUACCUUAUGAAUAAGGACCGGCUAAUUCCGUG
Molecule: ribosomal RNA, 493 nt
Filed under: uncultured bacterium
Lineage: Bacteria
Description: bacterial SSU rRNA
Rfam family: Bacterial small subunit ribosomal RNA
Source: RNAcentral